CUUCCCCCUCUCCUCCCCCAUCUGCAWUCGAGCGAUGAUUAAAGUUGCUCUUAUGAAGUUAGCGGCGGACGGGUGAUACCACGUGGGUAACCUGCCCAUAAGACUGGGAUAACUCCGGGAAACCGGGGCUAAUACCGGAUAACAUUUUGAACCGCAUGGUUCGAAAUUGAAAGGCGGCUUCGGCUGUCACUUAUGGAUGGACCCGCGUCGCAUUAGCUAGUUGGUGAGGUAACGGCUCACCAAGGCAACGAUGCGUAGCCGACCUGAGAGGGUGAUCGGCCACACUGGGACUGAGACACGGCCCAGACUCCUACGGGAGGCAGCAGUAGGGAAUCUUCCGCAAUGGACGAAAGUCUGACGGAGCAACGCCGCGUGAGUGAUGAAGGUUUUCGGGUCGUAAAAACUCUGUUGUUAGG
This 416-nucleotide ribosomal RNA is filed under the name Bacillus sp. 14-2. RNAcentral's name for it is "bacterial SSU rRNA". It matches the Rfam family "Bacterial small subunit ribosomal RNA", at positions 79 to 443 of the family's 1533-position model. The record is from RNAcentral. Lineage: Bacteria; Bacillati; Bacillota; Bacilli; Caryophanales; Bacillaceae.